Molecule: unclassified non-coding RNA, 347 nt
Filed under: soil metagenome
Description: partial contains 5.8S ribosomal RNA, internal transcribed spacer 2, and large subunit ribosomal RNA
Rfam family: 5.8S ribosomal RNA (bases 1-120)
Source: RNAcentral
GAUGAAGAACGUAGCGAAAUGCGAAAAGUAAUGUGAAUUGCAGAAUUCAGUGAACCAUCGAAUCUUUGAACGCACAUUGCGCCCGCUGGAACUCCGGCGGGCACGCCUGUCCGAGCGUCAUUUCAACCCUCAGGCCCCCCUUCGCGGGCGGGCCUGGUGUUGGGGCCCGGCCGCUACCCUGCGGCCGUCCCCUAAAUCCAGUGGCGGCCUCGCCGUGAUCCCUUGCGUAGUAAUGCACCUCGCACCGGAGAGCGCCGUGGCCACGCCGUAAAACCCCCAAUUUUCAAUGGUUGACCUCGGAUCAGGUGGGAAUACCCGCUGAACUUAAGCAUAUCAAAAGCGGAGGA